CCACACCUAAAAUCUUUCCACGUGAACUGUUGGGAUUGCCGUUGGGCAUGACGUGGGGCUUCCGUGCUGCUUUGCGGUUUUGCUGCUUUGCGCGUGGAGGCCCCGUCUGGGUGUUGCUGUGCCGUUUAGGCUUGGCGGUGCCUGGCGCCUUUUUGUUUUGAACCCGUUACGUAAUGACUGAGUAUACUGCGGGGACGAAAGUCUCUGCUUUGAACUAGAUAGCAACUUUCAGCAGUGGAUGUCUAGGCUCGCACAUCGAUGAAGGACGCUGCGAACUGCGAUACGUAAUGCGAAUUGCAGGAUUCAGUGAGUCAUCGAAAUUUUGAACGCAUAUUGCACUUCCGGGUUAUGCCUGGGAGUAUGUCUGUAUCAGUGUCCGUAAAGCACUGUUGCCUCUCUUCCUUCCGUGUAGUCGGUGGCGGGGACGGCAGACGUGAAGUGUCUUGCUGCAGCUUUUGUGUGUGCGGCAAGUCCUUUGAAAGUUUCCUUUUCUCUCUCUUUGCCGAAAGCGAGCUGGAAGUGUGACUGUGGCGGCUGCCUGUGUGGCGCUGCUGGGUGUCUGUUCAUGCGAGGGCGUUUGGGAGAGGGCUUGUUGAUUCGCGGUAUGUUAGGUUUCGGCCGGACAAUGCGCUUAUUGGCGGGUUUCUUUCUGCUCUUGCGGUUGAGUGGGCGUUCGGCGGCGCGUGCGCGUGGCUUGGCUGUUGAGUGUUGAUCUUUCGGCGUUUGAAUCGCGAGUAGUGUGUCUGCGUGUGCUGUUCUUUGUUGAGGGCGGCGCUGCAGGCGAGGGGGGACUGUCCAUUUGGGAAGUUUGUGUGUGGUCGGCGCGUCUUGGGGCGAGCUGGUGCGCAUCUCAA
RNAcentral lists this ribosomal RNA (854 nucleotides) under Halophytophthora avicenniae. RNAcentral describes it as "eukaryotic LSU rRNA". The stretch from base 224 to 378 matches the Rfam family "5.8S ribosomal RNA". The record is from RNAcentral. Lineage: Eukaryota; Oomycota; Peronosporomycetes; Peronosporales; Peronosporaceae.